RNAcentral lists this long non-coding RNA (1994 nucleotides) under Nicotiana benthamiana. RNAcentral describes it as "long non-coding RNA (NBEN_LNC028516)". Lineage: Eukaryota; Viridiplantae; Streptophyta; Magnoliopsida; Solanales; Solanaceae. The record is from RNAcentral.
AUCACUACAAGCUGUCCCGUCAUACGAACAUGGCAGAAACUUAUACAAUAAUAGUAUAUAGAGUGUCCUAAAUACAUUUAAUAACAAAACUAAAUAAAAUUAAAACUUCAACUCUUCAUUUGUAUUCAUGCUUCAUGUUAUCAUCUUACAAUGUGUAUCAGUUGUGUACCUGAGUGAUCAGCAGGAUAGCAGUAGCAAUACACAGCAACAACAGCAAACAACCACAGCAAAUACCCCAGACGAUGACUAGAAGUAAACUAGACUUGGACCCAAUAAGAUUCCAGGAAAAUACCAACUACUAUAUCACAAAAACAAGAAACAAUUAUUGUUCUUUCACCCUCGAGGAAAGUAAAUUCCUUUUAUUUUUUAUUUCUCAAAAUACUGAACUUAUUUUUCGUCCUCCAAAAUUCAGUCCCCCUUUAAGUGUCAAAUGACUCUUAUUUAUAUCUAAAACAAGACUCUCUCUUUUCUUUUUACCUCUUUCCUUUUACAUUUAAACUAUUAUUAUAAAUUUUUUUACCUCUUUUACUUUCCAGCCCAAUAUUCCUCUAACUAUGACUAUCUUUAACCCUUUUAUUAUUAUUAUUUAUACUGUCUCUAAUUCCAAUUAAGCAAAAAGUAGUCAACACGGACCCCACAGUCCCCCUUUUUCAAUUGUCAAAGAAGACCAUAUUAUUACCCCUUUUACUUUACAUAAUUAUGUCUUGUCCCCUACCACUACUUAAAUAAAUAUAUUAGAUUCUCACUACUAUAUGUCUUGUUUCCCAAUAUAUUAUUUUAAUAAUACUUUUGUAUUUAGUGGACAAAGCACUCAACAUAAAUGAUUGUCUAAAUUGUCAAUUCCCGUAUUACCACUGAAGUUACUAUUCUACCCCGUCCCUUCAAUUUGUACCAAAACAUAUCAGCUGACCAAAAUUGAUUCUUAAGUUAAACACCAAAUCAUUACAGCUAUAACAAAAUUCUUAAUCAAAUUCAAUAAUUAAUCUCCUGAACAAACUCAUAAAUCAAUAAUAUUUAAGAAUCACUUCAACAGAGUGAGAUUCACAUCAGAAAUAACUUAACAGAACAAUAAGUAGAUUCAACUCACUAAAAAUCAAUCAUCAAUUGAAAUUCAAAUUAACACCCAACAUCAAUACAACCAAGAGGAAAGAUUCAAUGAUUUAAUUAAGAGACAACAAAAAUGAAGCUAAAACAUGGUAGGAUAAUGAACACAAAAAUAAAAUACAAGCUAUAAACUCUAAAUAUUUUUUACACAAACUAUUAAAACAAAAUCAUACUAACAAAACAAAGAAGAUGAAGGACGAACCUGAAGGAGCUUGCUGGUUAAACCAAAAUGAAACAAUAAGAUAUCAGGAUCAAACGACCCAAAACAAAUGAGUUGAUCGUAACCUCAACGAACAACCCCGGUAGACAAAACUCUAACAAUAAUACCUUCAUAGAACUCAAUGGUUCCAAAACUGAAAAUCUGACGAGGAAACUAGUUAAACCCAACUGCCCGACUUUAUGCUUAUGACCGUGUGUGUGUGUAUGGUCGACGAGGAGGCUGGGGGACGACGGGCUGGGCAGAACUGGCUGGACGUUGGUCGUGACUGGACGAGUCGUUUGGUUAGCGUGUUUGGACGGUGGCUGACAACAGUUGAACGGAUCAUUGGGUGGAAGCAGAAGCAGAUGGCGGGCUGGAAGUUAGCUUGGACAUUGGUCGCCCAUAGAGGCGACAGGCUGGUUGUUGGUCGUUCAUGGAGGUGAGGGUGACGGGCUGGUGGAGUCAGGGACGACGGGGGGGGGGUCGUGUGGUGAUCGUUUGGGAUAACAGCAAGCUGGUCUGGCGUGAUGAGGGGAAGGGCUGUUUGACGUUAGGGUUUGUUUAGGGUGUGUUAGGAAGAAGAUGGGAAUGAGGCGUUUGGGGAGAGGUCUUUGUUUUUUAGGGUUUAUUUUCUUUGGUGAGGGAUUGAAAAAUGAAGAAAGGGGUAGUUUGGGCUAUGGGGCAGGGCAGA